AUUGAACGCUGGCGGCAUGCCUUACACAUGCAAGUCGAACGGCAACACGGGAGUAAUCCUGGUGGCGAGUGGCGAACGGGUGAGUAAUGUAUCGGAACGUGCCCAAUCGUGGGGGAUAACGCAGCGAAAGCUGUGCUAAUACCGCAUACGAUCUAUGGAUGAAAGCGGGGGAUCGCAAGACCUCGCGCGAUUGGAGCGGCCGAUAUCAGAUUAGCUAGUUGGUGGGGUAAAAGCUUACCAAGGCGACGAUCUGUAGCUGGUCUGAGAGGACGACCAGACACACUGGAACUGAGACACGGUCCAGACUCCUACGGGAGGCAGCAGUGGGGAAUUUUGGACAAUGGGCGCAAGCCUGAUCCAGCAAUGCCGCGUGCAGGAUGAAGGCCUUCGGGUUGUAAACUGCUUUUGUACGGAGCGAAAAGGCUCUCUCUAAUACAGGGGGCUCAUGACGGUACCGUAAGAAUAAGCACCGGCUAACUACGUGCCAGCCGCCGCGGUAA
RNAcentral lists this ribosomal RNA (500 nucleotides) under uncultured bacterium. RNAcentral's name for it is "partial 16S ribosomal RNA". It matches the Rfam family "Bacterial small subunit ribosomal RNA", at positions 30 to 523 of the family's 1533-position model. The record is from RNAcentral.